RNAcentral lists this ribosomal RNA (598 nucleotides) under Xiphinema brevicolle. RNAcentral describes it as "SSU rRNA". It matches the Rfam family "Eukaryotic small subunit ribosomal RNA", at positions 1026 to 1643 of the family's 1831-position model. The record is from RNAcentral. Lineage: Eukaryota; Metazoa; Nematoda; Enoplea; Dorylaimida; Longidoridae.
CUAACCGUAAACGAUGACAACCAGCGAUUAGUCGGUGUUAAUAUACGACCCGACUUAGCAGCCUUCCGGGAAACCAAAGUUUUUCCGUUUCCGGGGGAAGUAUGGUUGCAAAGCUGAAACUUAAAGGAAUUGACGGAAGGGCACCACCAGGAGUGGAGCCUGCGGCUUAAUUUGACUCAACACGGGAAAACUCACCCGGCCCGGACACCGUAAGGAUUGACAGACUGAGAGCUCUUUCUUAAUUCGGUGGGUGGUGGUGCAUGGCCGUUCUUAGUUGGUGGAGCGAUUUGUCUGGUUAAUUCCGAUAACGAACGAGACUCUGGCCUAUUAAAUAGUCGGUAUAUCCGGAAAAGUUUACCGUACUUCUUAGAGGGACAAACGGCGUCUAGCCGCGUGAAAUAGAGCAAUAACAGGUCUGUGAUGCCCUUAGAUGUCCGGGGCUGCACGCGCGCUACACUGAAAGAAUCAGUAUGCGCUUUAACCUAGUCCGGAAGGAUUGGGUAACCCGAGCAAAUUCUUUCGUGCUUGGGAUAGGGAAUUGCAAUUAUUUCCCUUAAACGAGGAAUUCCCAGUAAAUGCGGGUCAUAAGCUCGCGUUG